This 492-nucleotide ribosomal RNA is filed under the name Triticum aestivum (bread wheat). RNAcentral describes it as "partial small subunit ribosomal RNA". The record is from RNAcentral. Lineage: Eukaryota; Viridiplantae; Streptophyta; Magnoliopsida; Poales; Poaceae.
AUGAGCACCUUGUUCAUCCUGUGCUCCGCGUACAGCAGCCAGCCCAACAUCGACACACCAGACAUGAUCCCCUCCAGCACCGAGUUCCACCCGCAUGGCCCUGUGGUGGAGCAUGUCCACUUGCGGUGCCCACCGCUUGACAACAAGCCCACAACCGUCGGUUUGCUCCACGAACCCCUCCGGCAGGAGCGCAUGGAGGGCCAGGUCAUCAUAGUUGACACUCUUGGGGUCUCGUACCACCGACCUCUCCAGCCCGAUGGCGAUCUCCCUGAUCUGCUCCUCCGAGUGGCUCACCUCAGCUAUGCACCCGAAGCAGAGGAACAUGAGGCUGCGGUUCAGUUGCCCGUCGAGCCACGCAAGGCAGCCGUGCCCCGACGCCUCUGCUCGCUCGCCGGUCUUCUGGACCAGAGACCUGACAUAGUACAACGGAGGCAGCACCACGCCGGGCAGAAGAUGUCGCGGGUACCUGAUGUAUCUUGCGACCAGGUGUGA